AACGUAGGUGGCGAGCGUUAUCCGGAUUUACUGGGCGUAAAGCGUGUGCAGGCGGGGAGACAAGUGGUGUAUGAAAUUUCCCGGCUUAACCGGGAAGGGUUAUGCCAGACUGUCUUUCUGGAGUGCGAGAGAGGGGCGUGGAAUUCCGCGUGUAGCAGUGAAAUGCGUAGAGAUGCGGAGGAACACCGAUGGCGAAGGCAGCCCCCUGGGCUGACACUGACGCUCAGGCACGAAAGCGUGGGGAGCAAACAGG
Molecule: ribosomal RNA, 253 nt
Filed under: uncultured bacterium
Lineage: Bacteria
Description: partial 16S ribosomal RNA
Rfam family: Bacterial small subunit ribosomal RNA
Source: RNAcentral